This 71-nucleotide transfer RNA is filed under the name Spirochaetota bacterium. Its description in RNAcentral is "Spirochaetes bacterium tRNA-Ile". It matches the Rfam family "tRNA". From Rfam's summary of the family: Transfer RNA (tRNA) molecules are approximately 80 nucleotides in length. Their secondary structure includes four short double-helical elements and three loops (D, anti-codon, and T loops). Further hydrogen bonds mediate the characteristic L-shaped molecular structure. tRNAs have two regions of fundamental functional importance: the anti-codon, which is responsible for specific mRNA codon recognition, and the 3' end, to which the tRNAs corresponding amino acid is attached (by aminoacyl-tRNA synthetases). tRNAs cope with the degeneracy of the genetic code in two manners: having more than one tRNA (with a specific anti-codon) for a particular amino acid; and 'wobble' base-pairing, i.e. permitting non-standard base-pairing at the 3rd anti-codon position. The record is from RNAcentral. Lineage: Bacteria; Pseudomonadati; Spirochaetota.
GCGCCCGUCGUACAAUGGUAGUACAGUCGCCUGAUAAGCGAUAAACGAAAGUUCGAUUCUUUCCGGGCGCA